Hyaena hyaena (striped hyena) is the source of this 103-nucleotide small nuclear RNA. NCBI's taxonomy places the organism in Eukaryota, Metazoa, Chordata, Mammalia, Carnivora, Hyaenidae. The record is from RefSeq and is a predicted model, not a curated record.
UCCAUGAAUUUAAGAAUUUGCUAAGAUUGGAAUGAUACAGAAAAGAUUAGCAUGGCCACUGAACAAGGAUAAUACACAAAUUCAUGAAGCAUUAGAUAUUAAA